Brassica rapa (field mustard) is the source of this 6647-nucleotide long non-coding RNA. RefSeq lists it as uncharacterized. The record is from RefSeq and is a predicted model, not a curated record. Lineage: Eukaryota; Viridiplantae; Streptophyta; Magnoliopsida; Brassicales; Brassicaceae.
UUAGUAUGUCAAUAUAAAUUUAUAUGCGAUGGACUUUAAAAUUAAAUUGUAUAUUUGUUUGCAUGCAGGUAAAUUAUAAAUAUAAUAUUAAAUGAAAGAUAAGCAAUAGUCUAAUAAAAUAUAAAAAGAACAAUGUAUAAAAAAAAUAAAAGAAAAUAAAAAAUAGAGACAAAAUAACUGUUGUCAAUAAUGCCUUCAAAAGUCUUUAUUUGCAAUCCUAUUAUGAGCAAGCAAAGAGACCAUCUAGAGAAAUUAAAAAAAUUAUUUAAUAAAUAUGUGAAUGCAUGUAUUACCUCAAUCGUAAAGCAUCAAUUUCGGGAACACCAAUGGGGUCGAAGACAAUUUUGAAAAAUCCAUCAAUGUUAGUAACCCUCUUAAGUCGGCCUUAUUAUGAAAUAUGAAAAAUAUUAGCAAAAUAUACAUAUAACAUCAGCUCCUAUUAAUCUAUUGUAUAUACAAUAAAUACAAUAGAUUACCUUGUCUCCAAUUAAUUUGCCAACACUGUAAAACACAUAAUACUAUGUCUGCAUCUAUAGAAUUCCAUAAAUCAUUGAAAACAUGAGCAAGUGCACCAUAAGCGACACACUUAAUGACGACGUUACUGUAAAAAAAAACGGAUCAAACCAUGUGAUACUAUACAAAUGUAUAUCUUUCUUUUUACAGAUGUUGAAUACUUACGGGAUGUGUAGUACAAAAAAAAACGGAUUUUGUGGUCGAUGAUACCAUUAUUUCCGUUAGUAGGUUCCAUCAUAUAUUCUUCAAGAAAUCAUACUCCUAUCACUUGACCAUAAAUAUCUGAUUGGAUAGGCCAAAAGAUUUACACAUAUUUAGAUACAUAAUAUUAUCAAUAUGAACACAUUCAAGAUUAUUUCGCUGCUCUCAAUUUUCAUUUAAUUAUAUAGAAGAGAAAACAUACCAAUAGGAAACUUAGGAUGAUGUAAGCCACGGUAAAGAUCAUCCCAGUUUGGAAAACAAUAAAAGCUGGAAUGUUUUAUAGGAUCGAUCUUCACAAUGACAGAGGAGUUAGUGAGGUUAAUAUUAUAUCGGUUCCUUGUCAAUCGAACACGCUCUGCUGCAUGGGAUAGCUCGAAAUCUUUAAUUUCAUAGGAGUGACCUUCCUCCAAUGGCAUAUCAGCUGAGAAACGAUUUGACAUAAUGCCUUGAAUACGUUGUACCACGUUUAAAGAAACACUUAUUUUGUUGUCUUAUUUAAAUGAAACACUUCUAAAUUUUCGAACAUACCAUAAAGUCUUUCAUAGAAAUGAGUUAAUAUGCUGCUUUAGUUAAAUCUCCGUUUUUUUUUUAAAUCGGAAUGUAAUCAAGUGUAAAUGACUUACCAUAGACAUAACCCCUUUUGAAAUCGGAAUGUAAUCAAGGUUAUUUUUGAAAUCCGAAAUAAUAUAGUAUAAUGUAAUGACCAGUGGCAUUUGUUUGUAAUUAUUCUAGUUGAUAAAGGUUUUUUUUUUAAGUAAGUGAGAGUGCAUGUGGUGAUGACACAUAGGAAAUGACACUCAUGUAAUAAACACAUGAGGCCAAGGUUUAUUUCUAUCAAUGCUCCUCCUUUAAUAAGAAAGAAAUAUUAUAUUAAAUAGUUUAAUUUAUAAGUACAUAUACUCACCGAUCAAAAGAAGGAAUUUCAGGUGUAGACCAGAAUCCCAUUAGUAACGUCAGGAUAUUGAUGAUGGUUCAUGAAAAAAUAAGAAACUAUUUUCAAGACAAGACUGAUAUAAUACCCUACCAGGUUUUGAUGGUUUAUUAGGAGGCAAUGAAUGUAAGGGCAUGUCUUUCACCUCUUCAUUCGGAAGUGGAGGUUUUGAUUUGGGCAAUGGAAUGCGUGAAGAAUUUAAGACACUUUCAGGUUACGUUUGCCACAAAUUGUUCUCAGUUAGUAAAAAUGGUUUCGAAACCAGAAGAAUAGCCAAUAUUUGAAAGUUAUCUGAAAGAUAUCAAGUUUUUACAAAGAAGCUUCCUCAACUUAGACAUCGUUCAUGUACCUCGAACGGAGAACCAACGGGCGGAUAGCUUAGCACGCAGUGCCAGGAAACAACCAUUCUUCGUCAUUUACAUAGAUUCGGAGUUACCGUUUUGGUUUACGGAGUCAAUAUGAAUCUGUGAAUGUUUUGUUGUCAAAAAAAAGUUUAAUUUGUAAGCAAUUUUAAAAGGGAUAAUUAAGAAAAUACCAUAUUUAUGUUUAAAAUUUGAAAAAUACACUGACUUAAUUUGAUUUUGAAAAUUACACUUGUCCAAUAUGUGAAAAGACAUCUUAACAGGUUUAGGUGAUUAUUGCUGAGAGCUCUGAGGGUUGCGCUGUACAUUUCUCUCCACAGCCAAAAUAUUAAAACAAUCAAACUUUACUUUACAUUUUAAAACUCACAGCCAUAACUAACUUUUAUUUCAUUUUAUUGCUUUGAAAACUUACUUAUGUUGAUUAUAUAUGAUACUUAACAAUUGUAUUCUUUUACUUCAAAUAAAAAUUCAUAAUUAUAUAAUAAUUAAUCAGUUCAUAAAAUAUUUAAUCAUAGAUAAAUUAAUAUGUAGAAAUAAUAUUAUCAAUCAUGUUUUUCCUUUAAAAAAACUCACAACUACAACUCUACAGCUAAAAUUCUAAAGCUACAACAUUAAAUCUCACAUCUUAAAUUUUACAGCAAAAAAAUAAAAUACAAACAUAACCAAUCAACCCCUUAAGUUAAAUUUUUAUCUUUUAGUGAAAUUCAAAUUUUGAAAUUAUUAAGAUAAAUAUAUUGAUUUAAAAUAUAUGAUUGGAUAAAUAUUUUAUAAUAUUUCAAUGUUAAUCUUUAAAAAAAUAUAACCUUAGAUAACUAUAUAAUUUUAUGGAAUAAAGUAUCAUGUUUGAUACACAAUAUAAAACUUAACAUGUUAAAACUCAUUAUCUCACCAAACCUGCAACUUCCAAAACUCUUCUUUCCAAAAUACUUAUUUAAUUUUUUUUUCAAAAAUUAAAGUUCAUAUAUAUUUUAAAAUUUUCAAAAUCUAAAAAUAAAAAUAAUAUAUAACAUAUACAUUUGAAUAAUGUAUGCCAAAAUACUUAAAAUUAACAUAAAAAUAGUUUAACUUAAAUAUUUGGAUAGAAAAAUCAAAAGAUAUUUUAAGUAUUUUAGGUAUUAUAGGUAUCCUUUAGUUAUUUUAAACAUGUACUUAUAACUAUUUGUAUAUAUUUUCAAGUAUUUUGGACAACUUAAAAAUGUCUUAUAUAUUUUGUAUAUUCUUUUAGAUAUUAAAUUUUAAAAUAAUUUUUAAAUCUUGUUCGCAUAUAUUCGGAUACCUAAAAUAUCUUGGUUUGGAUCGGUUCCGGUUCACUAGAUACCCAAAUUUUGAACUCAUUCGAAUAUCUAACCAGUUUUAGUUAAAGUUCAGUACUAUUCUUUGGAUCGGCCUUGGUUCGGUUUUUUAGAUUCAGAUUUUUUGUCCAACCCAAAAUUUUAUUGUGACAAAAUUUUAAACAAAAAUGAUUGUGGUUCAAAUUUAUUUUGGGUAUGCAAUAAAUUUUAAACGAAAACAUAUUUUACUAUAUAUAUGGUCCGUUUUAGUUCAUCAUUAAAAACUAUUCUAGGCUCAUUUAAGAAAAACAAUGUGCUGAACUUAAAAAAACUUUACCAUAUCAGAUUAUCAAUAGACACUUUCAAAUAUUAUAUGUUGGUGUUGUGAUGAAUAGAAAGGGGGCUAGGGUUAGGAAAGCAAAAUGUUUGUGCAAUUCAUGUUCUCGCUAGGUGAUUUCAAUAACUUCUAAAUAAAUCUUAGUUGUAUCGAUCUCAUGUAAGAUUUUCAAAAAAUAUUAAUUAGUAAAAUCUUACACUUUCUAGAGUAAUCAAUUGUUUCUGAAUUAAUGUAUAGGAGAUUAUAGUAAUCACAUAAAUAAAAACAAUACCUCUUGUUUAUUUACAAUAUAUUUAUGGUAAAUAAAUCAAAAUAAUUAUUUUAUUUAUUUUAUAAGGUAUAUAAUUAUAUUUCAAAGAUAUUGACAUAAAUAUAUAGUAUAUUUUAAUGUAAAUAUGUAUUAUUGAGACUUUCUACUCGUAUGGUUUUAUUAACAUUUGUAUAUUUGAUGUAGCAAAACAAUUUAAACCAUUAAUCUCAAAUUUUUGAUGUGGUAUUUUUUGAAGCACAUUUCAUAAUUAAAAUAUUAAGGUUUGAAUACUCUUUCAAUGCAAAUUUCAAAAUUAACGUAUUAUGUAUUUUUAAAUGGUACAUAGUUUAAUUUAAACGAUACUAAAAUAUAUAUAUUAUUAUUUAAUAUGAAUAUAAUAAAAAUUCAUAUUAAUACGAUUGUAUGAUCAUUUGUAUCUUGUUAUAACAAAAAAAUUAAGCCAUUGAUCCCAAAAUUUUCAAAGGGAUUUUUAACAUUUUUUUUUAAAUUUAAAGUUGUUUUAAAAAUUCAAAAUAUAACAUAUAAGGAAAAUUCUAUAUUUUUAAUUAUAUGGUUAAUGUGAUUGUUUAUUUUUUUAAUAAAUAUAAAAUUAAACAAAAAUGAGGAAGGAUGCAAAAAUUGUUAAUAAAUAUUUAUUAUUCAUAAUCAUUAAUUAUUAUAUAUAUGUUAAUCAUAUUAGGUAGUUCCAUAGCUUUUUUUAACGAAAAAAUACACGAUUUUUAUAUUUUGGGUUAAUAUAAUGUUUCAUAGUAAUUGGAUUUUGAACCAAUUUUUUUUUUUCAAUUGAUUCUUAUGCUGUCACUUAAGAUUAAUUGACAUCUUAAUUAAGUGACAACUAGCAAGACUCUUUUGUAAUUAUUACAAACUACAUGUUAUAAAUUUUUAAAUGUUUCUCUAUUAAUAUAUUGUUGAUUUAAUUAGGAUAAAUUAGUCAUUUAGCCUAAGAAAAAAUGUAGUUUUCAAAAGAAAUAAAAUACAAUGCAAUUUUCGAAAUAAAAUCUCUCUGCAAAGUAUUUUACCAUUUUAAAAACGAAAAAUAUACAAUAUUGAUUUGAUAUUAUAAAUUAAUACUCCCUCUGUUUUUUUAUAGUAAGUAGUUUAAGUAAAAAAAUUUGUUUCAAAAUAUAAGUAGUUUUAAUAAAUUUAAGUAACUUUUACUUUUAUUGGGUUUAGUGUGAUCAAUCAAAUAAUAUAUACUUAUUUAUGAUUGGUCUAACUACACCUAAUUUAUAUAUCAAAUGUUACUUUUGAGAAAAUUAAUAACUUUCUUAAUAUUUGUGCAUUCACCUAAAAACUACCUACAUAAAAAAAAACGGAGGGAGUAACAUUUAGCCCAAGAUUAUUAUGCUUAUCCCCUUUAAUUUUCUAACAUGUGACAAAGGGAAGGUAAGAGAUCACGUCGACGCUUGCAGAUAUUGCAAGGAAUAAAACAACACUGUUAACUAUCAGAUCAUACUAUACAAAGAGGCUGAUGACACGCACUUAUUUAACUUAUACAUACAUAUAAAUAGUAUAAAAUAUUGGAUCCAUUCUAUUUACUUUUGAAAAUUAAUAAAACUAAACAGUAAACAUCAUAUGAAAAUAGUACGAAUUUGAUAACAAAUUGAUAAAUAUAUAACGUAAAAAAACAAAUAAUUUGAAAAAUACAAUUAUGUUCUAUGUUUAAAAAAUAGAAUAUAACAAAACAAAUAGAACACGAUGGCGUAACCAAAAGUCUCAUAAAUAGUAAAAGAGAAAAAUCAAGAAGUGAAUGAUAAUACAUAAUUUACAAGAAUCAGGAAGAGUUGUCUUUAGAGUUGAUGGAUGAGAAAAAGAAACCAUCAACGAGGGUGGAGGGAGAAGAAGAGAGUGGAAAAAAGGUUAUGAGACGUUAAGUGGCGACGGUGAAAAGAUGGUGUUGGCGACGUAACAACCAAUGGUAGUGACGAUAUUGCAUUGUCCAAUGGCGAUGGAAUAAAAUGGGUAUCAAGAAGAAUUUAAUUGUCAGUACAUUAGGUGAAAUAAAAGAAAAGACGGUGGGAAGAGCUAAGAAGAAGAUGGGUUACGACGGGUGGCAACGGUGAUGAAAGAGAAUAUAUCGAUGGUGAUGGUAAUACCCGAUUGUACAGCUGGAAGUGAUUGAGGCGGAGUGAGCGGAAGUUGAGUAGAUGAAGUAGUGAAAGAUAGAUAAUGUGUGAUAGAGAAGAAAAUGUGACUGUGUUAAUGGAGAAGGAAAAAAACUACCACGCAGGGUUAAGAAUAAGAAGAGAAGGUGAUGUCGUGAUGAUACUACGGACGGUGGUAAAAAAGAAGACACACGGCGACGAUUAAAUAUUAAUGUUUUUUCUUUCAUUUUAACCAAAAAUGUAUACAAAAUUGAAACAGUGGUUAGUACAUAAGACAACUACAAACUAUAAUAUCAUGUGAAAGAAGAGAAGUGUAAAACAAACUAUAAUAUAUACUAAUGAACAUGUGAAAGAAGAGAAGUGUAAAAUUUGAAAGGCACGACAUACUCUUUCAUUUCGUUGAAAUAGUAUAAAAAUCUUGCAUAAAAUGCUACACGAGCGAACAUAUACUAUGCUAUAACUCUUUCAUCUUGAUUAAUAUAUUUUAAUUGAGUAUAUAUGUUUUAAAUAGACUUAAUAAAUAAUAAUUUUACGAAAUGAAUAAUACAAUUCAAAUAAAUACACCGAAAGCAUAUCAUAUAUGUGUUCAUAUUUUUAGGAAGGUCUUCACAAAUUACACAUAUUUUGAAAAAAAAAUUUGAAUUGCAUGUAAAUUU